GCCUUAGUGGUGCAGUUGUCUGCAUGCUCGACGCGUAAUCGGGAGGGCCGUGGUUCGAUUCCCGGUGAAGGCG
Stegodyphus mimosarum is the source of this 73-nucleotide non-coding RNA. The record is from Rfam. NCBI's taxonomy places the organism in Eukaryota, Metazoa, Arthropoda, Arachnida, Araneae, Eresidae.